UAGAAACUUGUGUUCAAAUGAGAUAUUGUGAGAUGGCUUGUUUUUGCACUGAUGUACAAAUGAUGUGUGUGUUUUAAAAUCCUUUAAUUAGACAUGUGCAAGCAUCAGCUAGAUGAUGGUUCUAAUGCAGCAAUGGAUGAGGAAUGCAUGAGGAAGCAAAAGAAAAAGGCAAAAGACACAAGAAAAAGAAACAUACAGGCUGAAAAAAGGAAAUACAACGAGGUAAAAAGAUUGGAAAUGGACCGGGACACAACGGAGAAAGAGAAAGAGAAGAUGGUUGAAGAAAAAAAGAAAGCCGAGCUGAUUAGGAGACUGGAGGAGGAGAGACUGAAGGCUUUGGCACAAGUGACAGAAACAGACAAGGCAAAGGAACAGAAGGAUGGUGAUAUGAAGGCAGACAUAUUGAGGGUGGAAGAACAAGGGAAGAGAGUUCAAGAAAACAGCCAGAAGCAUAAGACAAAACAGGAGCAAGAGACAAUGAAGUUAAAUAUGGGCAGAGAAAGAAUGGAAGAAGAGAUAAAGAUGAUGGAGGAGCAAGAAAAGAAAUGGGUGGAAGAGGAAAUAAGAAAGGGAGAGAUGAUCAUAAUGGAGAAGCAAAGAGAGGACGAAAGAAAGGAAGAGGCAGUGAGGUUGGAGAUGAACAGAGAGAGAAUGGAGGAAGAGAUAAAGAAGAUGGAUGCAGAACAUGAUAAAGCCAAUAUGUCAAGGAGACUGGAAGAGAAGAGUAUGAGUGCUCUGGAAGAAGAAGAAGAGAGGAGGAGGAGGGUAAAGAAGGAAGUUGAGACAGAGAUGGUGAAAGGACAUCCCUCCCCUGCAGAAAAGUUAGAGUCUGAUGAUAAAGUCUUGAGAGAUCCUGCAGAAUGUGAAAAAGAAGGAAAGAAAGGCAGGAAUAAAGGCAAGAAGAUCCUGACGGAGGACAAAGGUAUGUGUGCGUUUAACAGAUAUGUAC
Clupea harengus (Atlantic herring) is the source of this 949-nucleotide long non-coding RNA. The record is from Ensembl. Lineage: Eukaryota; Metazoa; Chordata; Actinopteri; Clupeiformes; Clupeidae.